UUUAACACAUGCAAGUCGAACGAACCUUCGGGUUAGUGGCGGACGGGUGAGUAACGCGUGAGAAUCUGCCCUCAGGAGGGGGAUAACGGCUGGAAACGGCCGCUAAUACCCCAUAUGCCGAGAGGUGAAAUGAAUUUCGCCUGAGGAUGAGCUCGCGUCUGAUUAGCUAGUUGGUGUGGUAAAGGCUCACCAAGGCAUCGAUCAGUAGCUGGUCUGAGAGGAUGAUCAGCCACACUGGGACUGAGACACGGCCCAGACUCCUACGGGAGGCAGCAGUGGGGAAUUUUCCGCAAUGGGCGCAAGCCUGACGGAGCAACGCCGCGUGAGGGAUGAAGGCCUCUGGGCUGUAAACCUCUUUUAUCAAGGAAGAAGAUCUGACGGUACUUGAUGAAUAAGCCACGGCUAAUUCCGUGCCAGCAGCCGCGGUAAUACGGGAGUGGCAAGCGUUAUCCGGAAUUAUUGGGCGUAAAGCGUCCGCAGGCGGUCUUGAAAGUCUGUUGUUAAGGCGUGGAGCUCAACUCCAUUUCAGCAAUGGAAACUAGAAGACUAGAGUGUGGUAGGGGCAGAGGGAAUUCCCGGUGUAGCGGUGAAAUGCGUAGAUAUCGGGAAGAACACCAGUGGCGAAGGCGCUCUGCUGGGCCAUAACUGACGCUCAUGGACGAAAGCCAGGGGAGCGAAAGGGAUUAGAUACCCCUGUAGUCCUGGCCGUAAACGAUGAACACUAGGUGUCGGGGGAAUCGACCCCCUCGGUGUCGUAGCCAACGCGUUAAGUGUUCCGCCUGGGGAGUACGCACGCAAGUGUGAAACUCAAAGGAAUUGACGGGGGCCCGCACAAGCGGUGGAGUAUGUGGUUUAAUUCGAUGCAACGCGAAGAACCUUACCAGGGUUUGACAUCCUGCGAAUCCCUGGGAACUUGGGAGUGCCUUCGGGAGCGCAGUGACAGGUGGUGCAUGGCUGUCGUCAGCUCGUGUCGUGAGAUGUUGGGUUAAGUCCCGCAACGAGCGCAACCCACGUCUUUAGUUGCCAGCAUCAAGUUGGGCACUCUAGAGAGACUGCCGGUGAUAAACCGGAGGAAGGUGUGGAUGACGUCAAGUCAUCAUGCCCCUUACAUCCUGGGCUACACACGUACUACAAUGCUACGGACAAAGGGCAGCAAACUCGCGAGAGCUAGCAAAUCCCAUAAACCGUGGCUCAGUUCAGAUCGUAGGCUGCAACUCGCCUACGUGAAGGAGGAAUCGCUAGUAAUCGCAGGUCAGCAUACUGCGGUGAAUACGUUCCCGGGCCUUGUACACACCGCCCGUCACACCAUGGAAGUUGGCCACGCCCGAAGUCGUUACUCCAACCCGCAAGGGAGGAGGAUGCCGAAGGUGGGGCUGAUGACUGGGGUGAAGUCGUAACAAGGUA
RNAcentral lists this ribosomal RNA (1404 nucleotides) under metagenome. RNAcentral's name for it is "bacterial SSU rRNA". It matches the Rfam family "Bacterial small subunit ribosomal RNA". The record is from RNAcentral.